CAGCCGCCACGGUAAUACGUAGGGUGCGAGCGUUAAUCGGAAUUACUGGGCGUAAAGCGUGCGCAGGCGGUUGUGUAAGACAGGUGUGAAAUCCCCGGGCUUAACCUGGGAACUGCGCUUGUGACUGCACAGCCAGAGUAUGGCAGAGGGGGGUGGAAUUCCACGUGUAGCAGUGAAAUGCGUAGAGAUGUGGAGGAACACCGAUGGCGAAGGCAGCCCCCUGGGCCAAUACUGACGCUCAUGCACGAAAGCGUGGGGAGCAAACAGGAUUAGAUACCCCCGUAGUCCCUGUCUCUUAUAC
RNAcentral lists this ribosomal RNA (301 nucleotides) under uncultured bacterium. Its description in RNAcentral is "partial 16S ribosomal RNA". It matches the Rfam family "Bacterial small subunit ribosomal RNA", at positions 509 to 807 of the family's 1533-position model. The record is from RNAcentral.